UAGGCCUGACAUUUAUUUUGCAGUCCAGCAUCUGAGUCAAUUCCUCAAAUGCCCCAGACUUCCCCAUAUGGCUGUUGCCCUGUAUGUUCUGCGAUACCUUAAGGGCACUCCCUCCUUGGGUUUAUUUUACUCUGCUCAUGCUGCUUUUUCUGUUACUGGGUAUUCUGAUAGUGACUGGGCGGCUUGCCCUGAUACUAGGCGCUCUGUUACUGGUUUUUGUGUGCUCUUGGGUGGCUGUUUGAUCAGUUGGAAAUCGAAGAAACAGCCUGUUGUUUCUCUCUCCUCUGCUGAGGCAGAAUAUCGAGCCCUUAGCAAGUUGCUGAGUUGACUUAGCUCUCUCGUUUAUUGGUUGACCUUGGGGUAUCUGUUUCCUCUCCUAUUUCUGUAUAUUGUGAUAGUAUGGCUGCUUUUCAUAUUGCUAACAAUCCUGUUUUUCAUGAACGUACCAAACAUAUCGAGGUGGAUUGCCAUUUUGUUCGGGACUUGCUACUUUCUGGUUUUCUCAAGUUGCUUCAUGUGCCUACUUCUCGUCAGCUGGCCGACUUGCUCACUAAGCCCCUGCCUGGCACUUUACUUCUUCCGCUGCUCACCAAGUUGCAGGUGGUUUCCCGCUCCAACUUGAGGAGGGGGUGUUGAGAUGAGAG
This 644-nucleotide long non-coding RNA is filed under the name Nicotiana benthamiana. RNAcentral describes it as "long non-coding RNA (NBEN_LNC003396)". Lineage: Eukaryota; Viridiplantae; Streptophyta; Magnoliopsida; Solanales; Solanaceae. The record is from RNAcentral.